AAUGCACCUGGGCAAGGAUUCCGAG
This 25-nucleotide microRNA is filed under the name Eptesicus fuscus (big brown bat). RNAcentral describes it as "efu-miR-502". Its record names the gene efu-miR-502. Lineage: Eukaryota; Metazoa; Chordata; Mammalia; Chiroptera; Vespertilionidae. The record is from miRBase by way of RNAcentral.